RNAcentral lists this ribosomal RNA (460 nucleotides) under uncultured Desulfobacca sp. RNAcentral describes it as "bacterial SSU rRNA". It matches the Rfam family "Bacterial small subunit ribosomal RNA", at positions 924 to 1382 of the family's 1533-position model. Lineage: Bacteria; Pseudomonadati; Thermodesulfobacteriota; Desulfobaccia; Desulfobaccales; Desulfobaccaceae. The record is from RNAcentral.
CACAAGCGGUGGAGCAUGUGGUUAAUUCGACGCAACGCGAAGAACCUUACCUGGGCUUGACAUCUGGGGAAUCUCAUGGAAACAUGGGAGUGCGGAGCAAUCUGAACCCCAAGACAGGUGCUGCAUGGCUGUCGUCAGCUCGUGUCGUGAGAUGUUGGGUUAAGUCCCGCAACGAGCGCAACCCUUGUCUCUAGUUGCCACCAUUCAGUUGGGCACUCUAGAGAGACUGCCGGUGAUAAACCGGAGGAAGGUGGGGACGACGUCAAGUCCUCAUGGCCUUUAUGCCCAGGGCUACACACGUGCUACAAUGGAUCGUACAAAGGGUCGCGAACCCGCGAGGGGGAGCCAAUCCCAAAAACCGGUCCUCAGUUCGGAUUGGAGUCUGCAACUCGACUCCAUGAAGUUGGAAUCGCUAGUAAUCGUGGAUCAGCAUGCCACGGUGAAUACGUUCCCGGGCCUU